RNAcentral lists this transfer RNA (71 nucleotides) under Saccharomyces cerevisiae (brewer's yeast). Lineage: Eukaryota; Fungi; Ascomycota; Saccharomycetes; Saccharomycetales; Saccharomycetaceae. The record is from RNAcentral.
GGUCUCUUAGCCCAGUUGGUUAAGGCACCGUGCUAGACGCGGGGAUCAGCGGUUCGACCCGAGGGAGACCA